UACGUAGGGUGCGAGCGUUGUCCGGAAUUACUGGGCGUAAAGAGCUCGUAGGUGGUUUGUCGCGUUGUUCGUGAAAUCUCACGGCUUAACUGUGAGCGUGCGGGCGAUACGGGCAGACUAGAGUACUGCAGGGGAGACUGGAAUUCCUGGUGUAGCGGUGGAAUGCGCAGAUAUCAGGAGGAACACCGGUGGCGAAGGCGGGUCUCUGGGCAGUAACUGACGCUGAGGCACGAAAGCUAGGGUAGCGAACGGG
This 253-nucleotide ribosomal RNA is filed under the name uncultured bacterium. RNAcentral's name for it is "partial 16S ribosomal RNA". It matches the Rfam family "Bacterial small subunit ribosomal RNA", at positions 524 to 776 of the family's 1533-position model. The record is from RNAcentral.